UUCACGUUGGUGGGGCUGCGGGUAGUAAUCCUGUAUUUUUCCUUCGGCAGGCUAUCGCCUGCUCCAUUUUACAGAUGAGGAAGUUAAGGUCCAGAGCUAGGACAGGCUGGCCUCUAAUAAAGGCUCCUUGAGUUGUCCCCAAAAUCAAACACGGUAAUUGACACUGUUAAGAGUAACCCUUGACUUCUUACAAUUUAAGCAGCCGUGGGAAGCCAGUCCCCAGUCUUUCCUUGGCACCCUCAGUCCUGCAGUCCAGCCCAGUUGGCAAAAGCCAGAGAAAUGAUUGAUCCCAAAUGAACUAUGUAGCGAUUACUGAAUUAGAAGAAGGGCCAGUUGGAGAUCUUAGCAGGCACAGAGGCUUUUAGAGGUGCUGCAGGUUAUUUAUUCAAUGUGAAGUCGUUUUUUAACACAAUGUUUAAUGUUUUCUCUUAGAUUUUGUAAUUCUUUUAUUCCUUCCCCCAUUCGAGAUCAUUCUUUUGGUUUUGAAAACAUUUUGACGUAAUUUGUCUCCUCCAGUAAAAAAGAAUUACCAUUUCAUUUUAAAGGAUAACUUUUCCUUUUUGUUAGUAUGGUUGAUUAUUAUUCCUAAAUUCCACACCACAAUCCCCAAAGUCAAUUCUUCCCUGGGCUUCAGCUCUAAUUAAAGUUACCUUCAGUCGAUGAGAGGCUUGCAAGAGAUGUCAUGGAGAAUCUUGAGGAAUAAGGUAAACUGAAUAGACUUUCACUGUUAGUAAUGGUAGACUACAUAAUUCACGUCAACCCUCCUAUUGAAGGCAGCUAAACAACCUGGAUGAAACCUAAAAAGCAUCUUCUAGAAACAUCUCAUAAAAUAACAAGACAGUGAGGAAUUACUCGGCCAAAAUUCUCAAUAGAACACAGGCUCCGGACGCGCAGGCUCAGUGGCCAUGGCUCACGGGCCUAGCUGCUCUGUGGCACGUGGGAUCUUCCCGGACCGGGGCACGAACCCGUGUCCCCUGCAUCGGCAGGCGGACUCUCAACCACUGCGCCACCAGGGAAGCCCUGUUUUGUUUUUUGACGUUUGUAUUUCAUCUUUAAU
Molecule: long non-coding RNA, 1057 nt
Organism: Lagenorhynchus albirostris (white-beaked dolphin)
Lineage: Eukaryota; Metazoa; Chordata; Mammalia; Artiodactyla; Delphinidae
Exons: 3
Source: RefSeq, a predicted model, not a curated record